UGGGGAAUUUUGGACAAUGGGCGAAAGCCUGAUCCAGCAAUGCCGCGUGUGUGAAGAAGGCCUUCGGGUUGUAAAGCACUUUUGUCCGGAAAGAAAUCCUUGGCUCUAAUACAGUCGGGGGAUGACGGUACCGGAAGAAUAAGCACCGGCUAACUACGUGCCAGCAGCCGCGGUAAUACGUAGGGUGCAAGCGUUAAUCGGAAUUACUGGGCGUAAAGCGUGCGCAGGCGGUUUGCUAAGACCGAUGUGAAAUCCCCGGGCUCAACCUGGGAACUGCAUUGGUGACUGGCAGGCUAGAGUAUGGCAGAGGGGGGUAGAAUUCCACGUGUAGCAGUGAAAUGCGUAGAGAUGUGGAGGAAUACCGAUGGCGAAGGCAGCCCCCUGGGCCAAUACUGACGCUCAUGCACGAAAGCGUGGGGAGCAAACAGGAUUAGAUACCCUGGUAGUCCCACGCCCUAAAACGAUGUCAACUAGUUGUUGGGGAUUCAUUUCCUUAGUAACGUAGCUAACGCGUGAAGUUGACCGCCUGGGGAGUACGGUCGCAAGAUUAAAACUCAAAUGAAUUGACGGGGUCAUAGCUGUUUCCU
This 587-nucleotide ribosomal RNA is filed under the name uncultured bacterium. Its description in RNAcentral is "partial 16S ribosomal RNA". It matches the Rfam family "Bacterial small subunit ribosomal RNA", at positions 355 to 1375 of the family's 1533-position model. The record is from RNAcentral.